AAAUUAUGUUCUGUCUACGAUAGUAGAUGACAUAUUGGGUUGGGUUUUUUUUUCGUCCGCACAACGUGGUUAAACUUGAAGCGGUACGCAUAUCAGCUUGGAAGGGGGUCUCAUGUGGGGGUUCGGAUCCCGCUUACUGUUUUGUCAGAUUCCCGUAUCCCGCUUACACUAUUUACGGAAGCAAUUCUCAUUUUUUUGUCAUUUUACCUCAUUUCCCGUUUUCACGACACAAUAAUUUGACUUUCACGUGUCCCGCUUACAAAAACUCAGCAAUCCCGCGUCACGCUUAGACCCUAAUGAGGCCCACUUGGAACUUAUUCAUUAAAAUAGAGACGGUUUAAGCUAUAAUUAUUCCAAAUUGGACAAGGAAAUUCUUGUGAUUCGUUAUUUUGAGGUCCAUAUUAAUUGAUGCCUUUAUUAAUUACCGGAAUCGUACGUUACAGCAGCUAAUUGCAUAACAUCGGUAACUCCAAAUCUCUAUGCUUCAGUAUGGUUGAAUGUGGCCCCUUCUAUAAAGUUAUGGAGCCAAUUGAUCAACUUUCACACAGAGUUCAAAUGACGUGUCAACAAUUAUAGGCCAUUUUACGGCAUUCAAUAAAGAGCGCCUCUAAUUAUAUAAGGUGACACGGGGGAUAAUUUGUUUUACUCUUGGUCUUCUGUUCGGCCGUAAUACUAAUUGUGGGAUGUAUAAGUACACAGCCACGUUCGGUCAGAAUGCUGACGCUAAAUGUUAAUUAAAAAAAAAAUGGUUUUAUACGACGUUAAAAAAAAAACAAGAAGCCGUACGUAACUUUGAAGGUAGCUGUUCGUAACAUUAAUUAAUUAUAUAGAACGGCUGUACUUCAGGUUCAAAGAAAGAACGCUAAGCACAUCAAUUCAAGUAGAUGUAUUUUGAGGAGAGAAAAAGAAUGAAAUUGUCUAUUUACUACAUCAACAAAAUGUACGCAUCAAAACGUAUUAUUUUAUUUGACAAGUACCAAAAAGACAUUAAAAUUCUUACUAAAUCAAAACAGAGCAUUGCGAGAUCGGACAGAUAAUACGGAUGGCAAAACAUACAUAUAUAUAUAUA
This 1069-nucleotide long non-coding RNA is filed under the name Mytilus galloprovincialis (Mediterranean mussel). Lineage: Eukaryota; Metazoa; Mollusca; Bivalvia; Mytilida; Mytilidae. The record is from RNAcentral.